Acanthosepion pharaonis is the source of this 111-nucleotide non-coding RNA. The record is from the annotation of a GenBank genome assembly. NCBI's taxonomy places the organism in Eukaryota, Metazoa, Mollusca, Cephalopoda, Sepiida, Sepiidae.
UGGCCUUAUCAAGUUGAAACACCGAUUCCCGUACUAUCACCGAAGUUAAGCAACGUCGAACCUGGUCAGUAACAAGAUGGGUGACAGCUUGGGAAUAACAUGUGCUGUAAG